UUGUUGGGGGGGUAACGGCCCACCAAGACUACGAUGGAUAGGGGUUCUGAGAGGAAGGUCCCCCACAUUG
RNAcentral lists this ribosomal RNA (70 nucleotides) under uncultured Bacteroidales bacterium. Its description in RNAcentral is "partial 16S ribosomal RNA". It matches the Rfam family "Bacterial small subunit ribosomal RNA", at positions 246 to 315 of the family's 1533-position model. The record is from RNAcentral. Lineage: Bacteria; Pseudomonadati; Bacteroidota; Bacteroidia; Bacteroidales.